AAGGUAGCGAAAUUCCUUGUCGGGUAAGUUCCGACCUGCACGAAUGGCGUAACGAUGGCCACACUGUCUCCUCCUGAGACUCAGUGAAGUUGAAAUGGUUGUGAAGAUGCAAUCUACCCGCUGCUAGACGGAAAGACCCCGUGAACCUUUACUGUAGCUUUGUAUUGGACUUUGAGGUUGUAUGUGUAGGAUAGGUGGGAGACUAUGAAGAAAUAACGCAAGUUAUUUUGGAGUCGCUAGUGAAAUACCACUCUUACAAGUUUGAGGUUCUAACUUAGGUAGUUACACUAUCAAGGAAAGUGCAUGGUAGGCAGUUUGACUGGGGCGGUCUCCUCCUAAAGAGUAACGGAGGAGUUCGAAGGUUACCUAGGUCCGGACGGAAAUCGGACUGAUAGUAUAAUGGCAUAAGGUAGCUUAACUGCAAGACACACAGGUCGAGCAGGUGCGAAAGCAGGACAUAGUGAUCCGGUGGUUCUGAAUGGAAGGGCCAUCGCUCAACGGAUAAAAGGUACUCCGGGGAUAACAGGCUGAUUCCGCCCAAGAGUUCAUAUCGACGGCGGAGUUUGGCACCUCGAUGUCGGCUCAUCACAUCCUGGGGCUGCAGUAGGUCCCAAGGGUAUGGCUGUUCGCCAUUUAAAGUGGUACGUGAGCUGGGUUUAGAACGUCGUGAGACAGUUUGGUCCCUAUCUGCAGUGGGCGUAGGAAGUUUGACAGGGGCUGCUCCUAGUACGAGAGGACCGGAGUGGACAAACCUCUGGUGUACCGGUUGUCACGCCAGUGGCAUAGCCGGGUAGCUAAGUUUGGAUAAGAUAAGCGCUGAAAGCAUCUAAGCGUGAAGCUUGCCUGGAGAUAAGACUUCCCAAAGGACAUAAGUCCUUCUAAAGAGGCGUUAGAGACGAUGACGUUGAUAGGUCGGGUGUGAAAGUGCGGUAACGCAUGGAGCUAACCGAUACUAAUAUCUCGUGAGGCUUGACUCU
RNAcentral lists this ribosomal RNA (977 nucleotides) under human metagenome. RNAcentral's name for it is "bacterial LSU rRNA". It matches the Rfam family "Bacterial large subunit ribosomal RNA", at positions 1953 to 2925 of the family's 2925-position model. The record is from RNAcentral.